GACGAACGCUGGCGGCGUGCUUAACACAUGCAAGUCGAGCGGUAAGGCCCUUUCGGGGGUACACGAGCGGCGAACGGGUGAGUAACACGUGGGUGACCUGCCCUUAGCUCUGGGAUAAGCCUGGGAAACUGGGUCUAAUACCGGAUAUGACUCCAUGACGCAUGUUGUGGGGUGGAAAGCCUUGUGCGGCUAGGGAUGGGCCCGCGGCCUAUCAGCUUGUUGGUGGGGUGAUGGCCACCAAGGCGACGACGGGUAGCCGGCCUGAGAGGGCGACCGGCCACACUGGGACUGAGACACGGCCCAGACUCCUACGGGAGGCAGCAGUGGGGAAUUUUCCGCAAUGGGCGCAAGCCUGACGGAGCGACGCCGCGUGUGGGAAGAAGGCC
This 386-nucleotide ribosomal RNA is filed under the name uncultured bacterium. RNAcentral describes it as "bacterial SSU rRNA". It matches the Rfam family "Bacterial small subunit ribosomal RNA", at positions 28 to 416 of the family's 1533-position model. The record is from RNAcentral.